CCUACGGGAGGCAGCAGUGGGGAAUUUUGGACAAUGGACGCAAGUCUGAUCCAGCCAUGCCGCGUGCGGGAAGAAGGCCUUCGGGUUGUAAACCGCUUUUGUCAGGGAAGAAAAGGUUCUGGUUAAUACCUGGGACUCAUGACGGUACCUGAAGAAUAAGCACCGGCUAACUACGUGCCAGCAGCCGCGGUAAUACGUAGGGUGCAAGCGUUAAUCGGAAUUACUGGGCGUAAAGCGUGCGCAGGCGGUUAUGCAAGACAGAGGUGAAAUCCCCGGGCUCAACCUGGGAACUGCCUUUGUGACUGCAUAGCUAGAGUACGGUAGAGGGGGAUGGAAUUCCGCGUGUAGCAGUGAAAUGCGUAGAUAUGCGGAGGAACACCGAUGGCGAAGGCAAUCCCCUGGACCUGUACUGACGCUCAUGCACGAAAGCGUGGGGAGCGAAACAGGAUUAGAUACCCUGGUAGUCCACGCCCUAAACGAUGUCAACUGGUUGUUGGGUAGGUUUCUUCUCAGUACGUAGCUACGCGUGAAGUUGACCGCGUGGGGAGGACGGCCGCGUAAGGUUAGUAAACGUUAAAGGUUAAAGUUAGUUACGGUUCGUGAGAGUUGCCGACGGACGACGACGAGGGAGGAGG
This 635-nucleotide ribosomal RNA is filed under the name uncultured bacterium. RNAcentral's name for it is "bacterial SSU rRNA". The stretch from base 1 to 541 matches the Rfam family "Bacterial small subunit ribosomal RNA", at positions 338 to 873 of the family's 1533-position model. The record is from RNAcentral.